UACGUAGGGUGCAAGCGUUGUCCGGAAUUAUUGGGCGUAAAGAGCUCGUAGGCGGUCUGUCGCGUCGGAUGUGAAAAUCCAGGGCUCAACCCUGGACCUGCAGUGGGUACGGGCAGACUAGAGUGUGGUAGGGGAGACUGGAAUUCCUGGUGUAGCGGUGAAAUGCGCAGAUAUCAGGAGGAACACCGAUGGCGAAGGCAGGUCUCUGGGCCACUACUGACGCUGAGAAGCGAAAGCAUGGGGAGCGAACAGG
RNAcentral lists this ribosomal RNA (253 nucleotides) under uncultured bacterium. Its description in RNAcentral is "partial 16S ribosomal RNA". It matches the Rfam family "Bacterial small subunit ribosomal RNA", at positions 524 to 776 of the family's 1533-position model. The record is from RNAcentral.